Molecule: ribosomal RNA, 792 nt
Filed under: uncultured Bacillota bacterium
Lineage: Bacteria; Bacillati; Bacillota
Description: bacterial SSU rRNA
Rfam family: Bacterial small subunit ribosomal RNA
Source: RNAcentral
UAUUGGGCGUAAAGCGAGCGCAGGCGGAAAAAUAAGUCUAAUGUGAAAGCCCUCGGCUUAACCGAGGAACUGCAUCGGAAACUGUUUUUCUUGAGUGCAGAAGAGGAGAGUGGAACUCCAUGUGUAGCGGUGGAAUGCGUAGAUAUAUGGAAGAACACCAGUGGCGAAGGCGGCUCUCUGGUCUGCAACUGACGCUGAGGCUCGAAAGCAUGGGUAGCGAACAGGAUUAGAUACCCUGGUAGUCCAUGCCGUAAACGAUGAGUGCUAAGUGUUGGGAGGUUUCCGCCUCUCAGUGCUGCAGCUAACGCAUUAAGCACUCCGCCUGGGGAGUACGACCGCAAGGUUGAAACUCAAAGGAAUUGACGGGGGCCCGCACAAGCGGUGGAGCAUGUGGUUUAAUUCGAUGCAACGCGAAGAACCUUACCAGGUCUUGACAUCUAGUGCAAUCUGUAGAGAUACGGAGUUCCCUUCGGGGACGCUAAGACAGGUGGUGCAUGGCUGUCGUCAGCUCGUGUCGUGAGAUGUUGGGUUAAGUCCCGCAACGAGCGCAACCCUUGUUAUUAGUUGCCAGCAUUAAGUUGGGCACUCUAAUGAGACUGCCGGUGACAAACCGGAGGAAGGUGGGGAUGACGUCAAGUCAUCAUGCCCCUUAUGACCUGGGCUACACACGUGCUACAAUGGGCAGUACAACGAGAAGCAAGCCUGCGAAGGCAAGCGAAUCUCUGAAAGCUGUUCUCAGUUCGGACUGCAGUCUGCAACUCGACUGCACGAAGCUGGAAUCGCUAGUAAUCG